GACGAACGCUAGCGGCGUGCUUAACACAUGCAAGUCGAACGGAAAGGACCUGCUUUUUUGGGGUGCUCGAGUGGCAAACGUGUGAGUAACACGUGAGUAACCUGCCUAUGACUUUGGUAUAACUUCAGGAAACUGAGGAUAAUCCCGGAUAGUAGCACCUGCUGCAUGGUUGGUGUUGAAAAGUUUCGGCGGUUGGGGAUGGACUGCGGGCUAUUCAGUAGGUUGGUGGGGUAGUGGCUUACCAAGGCUUUGACGGGUAGCCGGCCUGAGAGGGGGACCGGCCACAUUGGGACUGAGAUACGGGCCGCACUCGUACGGAAGGCAGCAGAAUGGAAGAUUGCACAAUGGGCGGAAGCCGGAUGCAGCAACACGGCGUUCGGGAUGAUGGCCUUCGGGUUGUAGGGCGCUUUCGCCGAUGACGAAGCGUGAGUGACGGUAAUGGGUAAAGAAGCACCGGCUAACUACGUG
This 468-nucleotide ribosomal RNA is filed under the name uncultured bacterium. RNAcentral describes it as "partial 16S ribosomal RNA". It matches the Rfam family "Bacterial small subunit ribosomal RNA", at positions 28 to 507 of the family's 1533-position model. The record is from RNAcentral.